AAAACUUGCUAAUGGUUGGUGAGAUCAGUUGGGGACUCGUCUCGUGUGAUUGGAAAGCAUGGGCCCAUUAGUGGAGAGAGUUCAAAACCAGUCAAAGCAAGCGUUGGUGCAGUGGGUGAACGGCGUAAGAGAAGCUUGCUGUCUCCAUCGUGUGAUCAUCUACUCUCUCAGGUCAAAACAGCUUGCCAUCCGUACCGGUCAGUGUUUUUUGUUGAAUGGAUUCAUCUUCUUAGGAAGUAUCUUUGUUCUGAAAUCAGUUAUCAUCCCUGCAUUGGAAUGGAUAUUACCUGGUCAUAGCCGACUAAUCAAUUCACAACAGCCAUGUUCAUUUAGCAGUAUUUUGGAGUUUUAUCGAUUCUUACGCGUUGGACUUGUACAACUUAUAUAUGUUUUGUGGUUUUACCCCUUGUACAUAUUCAGCCUUAUUCUCAGCAAUAUCUGGUACAAUGAUAUUGCUAAAUAUGGGUUUUUUGCUUUGGAGAAUUAUGGGGAUCAUGAUACAAAGUUAUCUGAUCAAAAGGAGCCCCAAACUUCGCAAAACACCGUUCAAAGGGAAAAAUCAACUGAUCUUGAAGGGGUUAUGAUCAGUAUAGCGGAGCAGCUUUAUUCGGUCCUCUUGCUGACUUUCUUCUUGAUGGAGGUUUAUGUUACUGGAUUUAUCCCCUACAUAGGAAAAGCUCUAAAUUUUAUGCUUCUGUCAUGGUUGUAUGCAUACUAUUGUUUUGAGUAUAAGUGGAAUCUGUCUGGACUAAGCUUAGACAAGAGGCUGGACUUCUUUGAAUCAAACUGGGCAUUUUUUGCUGGUUUUGGAAAUCCAUGUGUACUGGCAAUGUUUCUUUUCUCUCCACUAGUGAGCUGUGGGUUUCUGGCUAUACUGUUUCCACUGUUUGUUUUGACCGCAACAGGCUCGGAAGCUGACAAAAUUGUUGCCUUACCUAGAAGAAAAUGGAGAGGUGCUGAAUUAGGAAGGGUACCAAUAUUUUUCAUUGCCGAUUACAUGUCUUGAUUUGAGGCAGAAGAAACACAGUCCAAUUCUUCCCUCCGUGUGGAAUAUGGGAUGAUCUACCUAUUACAGUUGAGAUGAAAAGGUGGUGUAGACUUCUUCUUGAUGCAAUCCACCAACAACUUGGUAUCACUCUCUGCCUGCACAUUUUGGUAGCCAUUGUUUUUGCACCACGACAUUCCAAAGUGUAAAGCUACUGCUUCCGCCCAGUUGUUAGUGCCUUGUCCUAAUUCCAAUGAGAAAGCUAUGAUGAGUUUGCCUUCGUGGUCUCUCACAAUACCUCCUCCUCCACAGCUACCGUUCCUGCAACUACCAUCAGUGUUAAGUUUAACAAAAAAGAGAGAAGAAUGCGAGUCUUAAAAUUAUUUUCUUCAAAAUCGCACCAGCAAAUUAAUGUGAACAAGGCACUCUAAAAUAGAAUGAACAUGUCUGAUCUACUCCCAACGCUCCAUAUCCAUGCAUAACCUCUGUAUCUUAUUUAUGAAAUUUAUAUUUGUAUGGGUCAACGAUGUUCCUAAUUUAUCCACGAUCACAAUAUGAACAUGUGCUCGUUAUCAUUUUUUUGGGAAGAGAGGAAGAAGUAAAUCCAGAUUUGCUGCUAUCACAAAUGGAAGAUAGCAACUUAUGGUGAUUCCUUCUGUAUCUUAUGUACAGAGUAAUUUGUAACUGGUUUGGUCAUUCUUUCAUAUGAACAUAUCUCUAUGUAUUAAGUUAUUAAUUUUGUCAUAGCUGAUUAAUUUUUUGUCACACGAA
This is an RNA transcript of Solanum lycopersicum (tomato), 1756 nucleotides long. It is a transcript of the gene named protein EI24 homolog, with no coding region annotated. The record is from RefSeq and is a predicted model, not a curated record. Lineage: Eukaryota; Viridiplantae; Streptophyta; Magnoliopsida; Solanales; Solanaceae.